UGUGAUGUGAUGUAGUGGUUUGACUAUUAGACUACCACUCUGGAGAUCAGGGUUCAAAACCCUGCUCAGCUA
Molecule: non-coding RNA, 72 nt
Organism: Phrynosoma platyrhinos (Desert horned lizard)
Lineage: Eukaryota; Metazoa; Chordata; Lepidosauria; Squamata; Phrynosomatidae
Source: the annotation of a GenBank genome assembly